ACGAACCGUCCGAACGUUAUUCGGAAUCACUGGGCUUAAAGGGUGCGUAGGCGGCGCGGAAAGUUGGGUGUGAAAUCCCUCGGCUCAACCGAGGAACUGCGCCCAAAACUACCGUGCUCGAGGGAGAUAGAGGUGAGCGGAACUUAGGGUGGAGCGGUGAAAUGCGUUGAUAUCCAGCGGAACUCCGGUGGCGAAGGCGGCUCGCUGGACCUUUUCUGACGCUGAGGCGCGAAAGCCAGGGGAGCGAACGGGA
Molecule: ribosomal RNA, 253 nt
Filed under: uncultured prokaryote
Description: partial 16S ribosomal RNA
Rfam family: Bacterial small subunit ribosomal RNA
Source: RNAcentral